UACGAAGGGGGCUAGCGUUGCUCGGAAUCACUGGGCGUAAAGCGCACGUAGGCGGAUUUCUAAGUCAGGGGUGAAAUCCUGGAGCUCAACUCCAGAACUGCCUUUGAUACUGUCGGACUAGAGUACGGAAGAGGCGAGUGGAAUUCCCGGUGUAGCGGUGAAAUGCGCAGAUAUCGGGAGGAACACCAAUUGCGAAGGCAGCUCGCUGGGACGUCACUGACGCUGAGACGCGAAAGCGUGGGGAGCAAACAGG
Molecule: ribosomal RNA, 253 nt
Filed under: uncultured bacterium
Lineage: Bacteria
Description: partial 16S ribosomal RNA
Rfam family: Bacterial small subunit ribosomal RNA
Source: RNAcentral